GAUGAACGCUAGCGGGAGGCCUAACACAUACAAGCCGAGCGGUAUUUGUUCUUCGGAACAGAGAGAGCGGCGCACGGGUGCGGAACACGUGUGCAACCUGCCUUUAUCUGGGGGAUAGCCUUUCGAAAGGAAGAUUAAUACCCCAUAAUAUAUUGAGUGGCAUCAUUUGAUAUUGAAAACUCCGGUGGAUAGAGAUGGGCACGCGCAAGAUUAGAUAGUUGGUGAGGUAACGGCUCACCAAGUCAAUGAUCUUUAGGGGGCCUGAGAGGGUGAUCCCCCACACUGGUACUGAGACACGGACCAGACUCCUACGGGAGGCAGCAGUGAGGAAUAUUGGACAAUGGGUUAGCGCCUGAUCCAGCCAUCCCGCGUGAAGGACGACGGCCCUAUGGGUUGUAAACUUCUUUUGUAUAGGGAUAAACCUACUCUCGUGAGAGUAGCUGAAGGUACUAUACGAAUAAGCACCGGCUAACUCCGUG
Molecule: ribosomal RNA, 479 nt
Filed under: uncultured bacterium
Lineage: Bacteria
Description: partial 16S ribosomal RNA
Rfam family: Bacterial small subunit ribosomal RNA
Source: RNAcentral